This is a long non-coding RNA of Mustela lutreola (European mink), 1416 nucleotides long. RefSeq lists it as uncharacterized. The transcript has 3 exons. NCBI's taxonomy places the organism in Eukaryota, Metazoa, Chordata, Mammalia, Carnivora, Mustelidae. The record is from RefSeq and is a predicted model, not a curated record.
GCGCUCGGGCUGCUCCGGCGGAUCAUGCCUGUGGGGCCCACUGCGCCUGCUCUCAGACUGCGGCGACCCGUGGCCGCUAGGGUCAGGCCCCGAGGACAGCCAGUCCCACACGACGCGUGGACUGUGUUCCAAGGAAGUGUUUGAAACUCGGUUUAGCACCCAGAUCCCUUUCCCCGUGGAAACAGUGUAUUAAGUGGAAGUCAAGUCAACGGGCUGCCCCCCCCCACCCCGCCCAGUCUGCUGAGCGCACGCGGCGCCGACGCCGGCCCGCGGUCCCCACCGGCGCCCGGUGCCCCCUGCUCCGCACGCAGCCGCGGCCGUGACCUCCCUGCGGCGACCCAUGUCGGCCUAGGACGCGGUGUGGCACGCCCGCCUCUAUCCCCGGCCCCGUGUCACAGCAAGUCUGCAUCUUGUCCUGCGGGCACGGCCUCCCCCUCUGCUUUCCCGCGUGUCCACUGCGGCCCGUGGCGGCACCCGCUCCGGCCGGCGCUCUGCUCCCGGCCCUGGGCUCCACCGGCCCUGCCGGUGCUUGGAGCCCCUGAGAACCCCCGGUCAGCCAAGGGUCCAGCCCCAGCAGCCGAAGCACCGAGCCCGGCUCCUCUGUGCCGUCCCCACGGCCCACCCUGCACGGCCGAGAGUCCGCGGGCCAUGAAGACGGCAGAUGCCCGGCCUGUGCUCCCAGAGCCCCCCUGGACCGAAACAGCUGCCUGAUCAGAGAGCGCUCUCUUCGCCUAAGUGCGUCUAGGAUGCUGUCCAUGCAGGGACCAGGGCGUACUCACGGUUCCUGAGCGGGGCCUGGACGCCACUGAAGGAUGUGUCAGUCGAGAACUCAGAAGAGUGGAGGGAAAGCUAUUUGUCCUUUUCCACAAGGUGGAGAGGAGGCACCUGCUCCCCUGUCUGUGCUCAUCUCAUGGGGCGGAAGCGAGCCUUGACCAGAGCCUCUGCCUGGGGCCGCGUGCGCCUCUUCUCCUGGCUGAGGGACAUGGCUUCCUAUCGAAUGUGAUUUCAGGACUGGGAACCUACCUGAGGUUGCUGGAAGACCCGGUUCCCCCACCUGCUGGCUACCUCGGGGCGGGAGUCCCAGAGAAAAUGUGUACCAGCCUCUAGUGUACAGUAUUUGUUCCCAAAGUGUGUUCCGUGGAACCAUCUCCUCAGCUAGUCUGCAUCCGAAAAGGCUUCCAUGGUGAGGUGAGUCCUGCAGAGUCUGUCUGCCACAGUUCACGUUUUCAAGGACCUGAGGAGUCCUGCAGUGAGCAGCCAGUUUCCAAGGUGUAUUUGACUUCAGCACAGUCUCCACUCCCUUUACACCUGCGACCCACCAUUGGGCCAAGAGAAACUCCCGCAGGAGCUUCCAGGGGGGACCUUUGUCAGGUAGGAGUGUUUUCUAGCAAGGUUGCAGCCUGUCCUCGGGCUGGA